RNAcentral lists this transfer RNA (72 nucleotides) under Bos taurus (domestic cattle). It matches the Rfam family "tRNA". From Rfam's summary of the family: Transfer RNA (tRNA) molecules are approximately 80 nucleotides in length. Lineage: Eukaryota; Metazoa; Chordata; Mammalia; Artiodactyla; Bovidae. RNAcentral also lists the same sequence under 2 other names. The record is from Rfam by way of RNAcentral.
UCCCUGGUGGCUCAGACGGUAAAGAAUCUGCCUGCAAUGCAGAAGACCCGGGUUCGAUCCCUGGGUGGGGAA